Molecule: long non-coding RNA, 2801 nt
Organism: Oreochromis niloticus (Nile tilapia)
Lineage: Eukaryota; Metazoa; Chordata; Actinopteri; Cichliformes; Cichlidae
Source: Ensembl
CCCCACAGUUACUAUUAUGAGGGAUACAGCAUUGAUUUCACUCUACACGUGUCAUGUAACUGAAUGUAUCACCUUCUUGGGGAAUUAAAGCUCUCGUGUUGAAACAUGGAGACAGGUCUUUAAAUCAAAAGAGUUUUUAUUUCAUUGGAUGAGAGCAGUAAAUCUGGCCAUUGCUUAUGUAUUCAGUUCAAAUUUUAUAUUCUAAAUUAGUAAAACUACUUUUAGAUAAUCACUUAUUUAAGCUAUUAAAAUACCAGGAGAAAAAUAGAACUUAUUUGGGAUGUCUCAUAAGGUUUCUCACAUUUAGGAAGAUGAUCCAGAUGUUUUGAACUUGCAUAACAGUUGUCGCUCGUGUUCUCUCCUCAGUUUCAGCAUUUCCAUCAGACGCUGAUCCAAAGAAGGAUGGAAACGUCACGUUAGAGUGCUCUCUGUUUAGAUACUAUACUACCUCUCCUUGUAACAGUAUGCGUUGGGUGGAUGAGACAGGAAGUGUGCUUUUGGACAGAGGUGUCAAGAACACUGGACGCACGUGUGUUUCUCUUCUGACUGUGAAGCUUCAGAGUGGCAACAAGAAAAGAUACACCUGCCAGUUUGAAGAUAACAAUACUGUGAAGAUAGAAGCUCACUACACACCUGUCCUCAUAGAUCGGUCUUUUCUGAACUGCAUCAUGUGGGCUCUUCGCUUUGCAGGACUCACAAUAAUGAUUGUAAUCAUGGUUCUUGUGAUCAGACACAAAGGAAGGAAAAAGCCACCUGAAGACAUCAACGUACAUUAUGUGGGUGACCGUGAUGAGGACACAGUGAACUAUGAAAAUGUGAGAAACAGGACAGCUGAUCCUGAACUGGACUGAACGUCAGAGCACCACCCUCUGUUAACCAGAACAAAAAUGAAUCUUUGUUUGUAAUUACAUUUUUCUAUUGCAAAAAAUAAUAUCUUACACUUUCCCUGUAAGUUUCUUUUUUUAAUACUUCAUAAUCUCAUGACCUCCUUUUGAAUGAUGACCAAACUACAUAUAAAAACAUUGCUUGCAUAACAAAAUGUUGCUUAUGUCAUGGUCCUGGGUCAGUGACCCAGCGUUUUGUGUUUCAUUUUGGUGUCAUCCUGUGUUUUGUGUUGAUUCUUAUUUUGUAUUGUUUUAGUGUUCUCCCUCCUGUGCUUGGUUUGUGUUUGUAUACAGUCCUCUAUGUACUAUUAAAAGGAAGAUCAAAUUUUAAAAUCUGUGUCUAGACUAAUAUUAAAAACACAUUUUAAUAUGCAAUCACCUUUUCACAGUAAUUUUUUUGUGUUGGUUUUGUACAGUAACUAUUUAAUUUCGUGAAAUGUCUUUAAAUCUUUCAAAUAUUGACAAAACUAUAAAGACUUGUAUUGCAAAAAUGGAACUUCUGGAAUCCUGUUUAGUUGUUUUCAAAGCUACCUGCCUCAUUCUGUGAGUUCUGAAGUUUAAAUGUUUUUUGAAUUAAGAAAGUUAUUCAUGUCAGUUAUCACGAUGCUGCUUCUUGGUCAGAACGUUUGACUCCUGAAGAUAAGUGAAGCUGAAAGCCAAAGUUCCUGUCUCAUUCUGUGAAUCUAAACUGUCCCUCUCAGAAGGUGUCAAGGUAACAGUUAUUUAAGCCUCAUUUUAAAUUGAUGUGAUAAAAAUAUGACUUUUGACACAACUGCAUCACAAACUGUUUUGUUUUAGCCAAACCAUCGCUGUAUCUGUGAUCUUGGACAUAGCAGUACUCAUUAUGUUUUUAUAAUAUUUAAGACUAAUGUUAAAUACUUUGAACUUUACUUUUGAGACACACACACAUUCCCAUAUUGAUAUCUUAGUGAGGAUAUCUAAUUGACAUAAUGCUUUCCCUAGCCGCUUACCCUAACGCUAACCAUCAAAAAUGAAUGCCUAACUCUAGCCCUUAGCUUAAACCUAACCAUUACCUAAUUGUAACCCUGACACUAAAACCACAUUUGAAGUCUCAAAAACGCCUUCACACUCAUGAGGACGGGCACUCUUGUCCUCACAAGUCACUGUUGGUCCCCACAAGGAUACUAAGAUUCCAAAUUUUUUUGGUCCCCAUAAAGAUGUCUAAACAGGUACACACACACACACACACACACACACACACACACACACAGUGUCAGACAGCUUAAUCACAGAGUUGAUCAUCUGAAAUCUCCUCCAUAUAAUCCUGUUUGCCACAUGUUUUAUGUGACAGGUUGAUUUAAAACAGCCACAGUUUUAAACUGGGACCCCCCCCCCCCCCCCCCCCCCCAAAGCAGCUGUUUGUUGCUACCAGCAGCUGAAUCAUGUCAUUUCUGUCUUCUGCUAAAUCGGCAUUUUAGUUCCAAAUCAUCACACUUCCUCUUUUUGACAUUACUAAAUGGAAAUUGCAACACUUUUUGUUUCAACAUUAUCCCACUCUAAGGCCAAACCAGUUUUCAUCCAUCUAAUUAAGGUGAAUUUUUUUUUUUAGCUGUGUUUGCAUGCACGGAUGUGACAUAAUCCAAGUUCUUUUAAAAUAAUGUUGGUGGUUUGUGAUGAUGUCAAAGAGGAAACAGAAGCAUCAGACAGACCAGCAGCAGAGAAAAACCUCAUAACGUUCGCCCGCUGACAGAACGGCACAGAAUGGUCCUGCUUACAUUUCUUCUAAUUCUUGUGCUUCAGUGUGAAGGUAAAGCCUCCUUUAUUUUUAUUGCUUACUUUGAUAACCACUUUGAUAGCUUCACACAAGGUUUUUGUUACUUGUUAAAAUUAGUCAAAAUUUGUUAAGACAGAAUUGUGGCAUGAGCGUGAGUUCAGUUUGGAAACAAGUUUAAACUU